GGAAGUAAAAGUCGUAACAAGGUUUCCGUAGGUGAACCUGCGGAAGGAUCAUUACUGAUUUAGCGAACCGAGCGUUAGCGAGGUUUUGCGAUCAACUUGUAUUUAAAACCCACUCUUCAAUGUAUAAAAUUUGUAUUAAUGAUAAAUUAAAAGAUCACUUUCAACAACGGAUCUCUUGGCUCUCGCAUCGAUGAAGAACGUAGCAAAGUGCGAUAAGUAAUGUGAAUUGCAGUAUUCCGUGAAUCAUCGAACCUUUGAACGCAUAUUGCACUUUCUGGUAUUCCGGAAAGUAUGCCUGUUUGAGGGUCAGUUAAAUAAAAAUCGGUGUUGUUGCCGCUUUCCGUGGUGACGCGUCGGAAUUGAGUCGUCUUCGGUUAAGUGACUUAAAAUUUUAUAUGAUUUUCGAACGUAUUUAAAUUUAUUUGAACGUUUGAUAUCGAAUGCUUAUUAGGUUCGGUCAUCCUCAUGACUCGCGCCUAUAAUUUUUCAUUAAAUGACCUCAAAUCAGGUAAGAAUACCCGCUGAACUUAAGCAUAUCAAUAAGCGGAGGA
This 551-nucleotide ribosomal RNA is filed under the name uncultured Glomus. Its description in RNAcentral is "eukaryotic LSU rRNA". The stretch from base 156 to 309 matches the Rfam family "5.8S ribosomal RNA". The record is from RNAcentral. Lineage: Eukaryota; Fungi; Glomeromycota; Glomeromycetes; Glomerales; Glomeraceae.